GACGAACGCUGGCGGCGUGCUUAACACAUGCAAGUCGAACGGAAAGGCCCUGCUUUUGUGGGGUGCUCGAGUGGCGAACGGGUGAGUAACACGUGAGUAACCUGCCCUUGACUUUGGGAUAACUUCAGGAAACUGGGGCUAAUACCGGAUAGGAGCUCCUGCUGCAUGGUGGGGGUUGGAAAGUUUCGGCGGUUGGGGAUGGACUCGCGGCUUAUCAGCUUGUUGGUGGGGUAGUGGCUUACCAAGGCUUUGACGGGUAGCCGGCCUGCGAGGGUGACCGGCCACAUUGGGACUGAGAUGCGGCCCAGACUCCUACGGGAGGCAGCGGUGGGGAAUAUUGCACAAUGGGCGGAAGCCUGAUGCAGCAACGCCGCGUGCGGGAUGACGGCCUUCGGGUUGUAAACCGCUUUCGCCUGUGACGAAGCGUGAGUGACGGUAAUGGGUAAAGAAGCACCGGCUAACUACGUG
Molecule: ribosomal RNA, 468 nt
Filed under: uncultured bacterium
Lineage: Bacteria
Description: partial 16S ribosomal RNA
Rfam family: Bacterial small subunit ribosomal RNA
Source: RNAcentral